UUAGGAAUUUUGGGCAAUGGGCGCAAGCCUGACCCAGCAACGCCGCGUGGGCGACGAAGCCCUUCGGGGUGUAAAGCCCUUUUCCACGGGACGAAUCUGACGGUACCGUGGGAAGAAGCCCCGGCUAACUACGUGCCAGCAGCCGCGGUAAUACGUAGGGGGCGAGCGUUGUCCGGAUUUAUUGGGCGUAAAGCGCGCGCAGGCGGCGUGCAGAGCCCUGCGUGAAAGCCCCCGGCUCAACCGGGGGAGGUCGUCGGGGACCUGCAGGCUAGAGGCCGGUAGGGGCGAGCGGAAUUCCCGGUGUAGUGGUGGAAUGCGUAGAGAUCGGGAGGAACACCAGUGGCGAAGGCGGCUCGCUGGACCGGUCCUGACGCUCAGGCGCGAAAGCGUGGGGAGCGAUCCGGAUUAGAUACCCGGGUAGUCCACGCCGUAAACGAUGGGCACUAGGUGUCGGGGGUAUCGACCCCCCGGUGCCGCAGCUAACGCACUAAGUGCCCCGCCUGGGGACUACGGCCGCAAGGCUAAAACUCAAAUAAAUUGACGGGGG
Molecule: ribosomal RNA, 547 nt
Filed under: uncultured bacterium
Lineage: Bacteria
Description: bacterial SSU rRNA
Rfam family: Bacterial small subunit ribosomal RNA
Source: RNAcentral